AGAAUCAACGCUGGCGGCGUGCCUAACACAUGCAAGUCGAGCGGAAAGGCCCUUCGGGGUACUCGAGCGGCGAACGGGUGAGUAACACGUGAGCAAUCUGCCCUUAGCUUCGGGAUAGCUCCGGGAAACCGGAUUAAUACCGGAUAUGACUAUGGCUGACAUCAGCCACGGUGGAAAGUUUUUCGGCUAGGGAUGAGCUCGCGGCCUAUCAGCUAGUUGGUGGGGUAACGGCCUACCAAGGCGACGACGGGUAGCCC
Molecule: ribosomal RNA, 257 nt
Filed under: uncultured bacterium
Lineage: Bacteria
Description: partial small subunit ribosomal RNA
Rfam family: Bacterial small subunit ribosomal RNA
Source: RNAcentral